This 173-nucleotide ribosomal RNA is filed under the name uncultured bacterium. Its description in RNAcentral is "partial 16S ribosomal RNA". It matches the Rfam family "Bacterial small subunit ribosomal RNA", at positions 1326 to 1500 of the family's 1533-position model. The record is from RNAcentral.
UCGGAAUUGCUAGUAAUCGCGGAUCAGCAUGCCGCGGUGAAUACGUUCUCGGGCCUUGUACACACCGCCCGUCACACCAUGGGAGUCGGUAACACCCGAAGUCUGUAGCCUGACGCAAGAGGGCGCAGCCGAAGGUGGGAUUGAUGACUGGGGUGAAGUCGUAACAAGGUAUC